CCUUCUUUCAGAUUUGUUUACUUCACCGUCAUUUCAAUGGCGGAACACUGAAAAAAAGCAUUUGAGAGCGGUCAGAUUUCGGAUAUAUUGUUCUAGUUACGAACGAGCUGAGUACUUACAUUUAUCAUCUUGGCUAGCUAACAUAGUGAACGAAUCGUUUUGUCCCAAUAUUUCUCUUAGUAAACCUUCUGGCUGGGGCAUUUCCAUCAAUUAAAGCACGAGAUCCCCGAAAUGGCAGAUAACAACACAGACCAAGAAAAAGCAAUAGCUGCAAAUGCGUUGGAGGCGUUUACGGCUGGAAACUAUGAGGAAUCUUUGAAACACCUUGGAAAGCUGCAAGAGUUGAACAAGGAGGACUACAAGAUUGCUUUGAAUAAAGCAAUAGCUGAAUUCUACAAGAGCGGCCAAACCACCACAUGCACCCUGAAGCAGACUCUUAUUGCAAUGAAAAACCAGGUUCACACUUCAAUGGAGGAUAUUGAUGGUUUGGAUGAUGUAGAAAACAGUCUUCUCUACUACAAUCAAGCAAUCAUUCACUACCACAUGAGACAGUACUCCGAAGCUAUUGCUAUUGGAGAGAGGCUGUACCAGUUUCUGGAGCCGUUUGAAGAGAAGUUUGCUCUGGCGGUCUGCUUCUUGCUGGUGGAUCUGUACCUGCUAACGUUCCAGCCAGAGAAGGCCCUCCAUCUCCUUGCUGUGCUGGAGAAACUGUCUGUACAGGGAAAUAACAAGAACGGCAAAGGGGAGGUAAUAUUUCAGGCACAGUGCAAGUUCUACAUUCACAGGGACCCGGUAGUGGAGGCAGCAGACUUCAUUCAGGAUAAUCUCAGGGAGCUUACUGGAGGACAGAGUGUCAACAGCGCCAACAAAGAUGGUCGGAACCAGAAGGCAGAGUUCAUUGGCAUGAUCGAAGCGGCAAAAUCCAAAAUGCACCAGUACAAAGUGCGAGCGUACAUUCAGAUGAAGUCAUCAAAGGCCUGCAAAAGGGAGAUCAAGUCUGUGAUGAACACAGCAGGGAAUUCUGCUUCCUCACUCUUCCUCAAGAGUAACUUUGAGUACCUGAGAGGAAACUACCGCAAAGCAGUGAAGCUCUUAAACAGCUCCAACAUCGCAGAGCACCCUGGGGCCAUCAAAACAGGGGAAUGUGUGCGCUGUAUGUUCUGGAACAACCUGGGUUGCAUACACUUUGCCAUGGGGAAACACAACCUAGGUAUAUUCUACUUCAAAAAGGCCCUGCAGGAGAACGACCACACGUGUGCACAGCUGGGGGACGGUGGGGCGACGGGGAACGGGCAAUCUAAGCAGUUCUCGGGCAUCCCCAUGUGUGCGCUGCUAGCCAACAAGCGUUAUGAGCUGCUGUAUAACUGUGGGAUCCAGCUGCUGCACAUCGGCCGGCCCCUGGCGGCCUUCGACUGUCUGAUGGAUGCUGUGCAGGUGUACCACUCUAACCCUGGCCUCUGGUUACGGUUGGCUGAGUGCUGCAUUGCUGCCAACAAGGGUAGCUUAGAACAAGACAACAAGGGUCUUCCGAGUAAAAAGGGUAUCGUUCAGGCCAUCGUUGGGCAGGGCUACCAUCGCAAGAUCAUCCUGGCAUCACAGUCCACCCAGAACACAAUCUACAGUGAUGGGCAGUCUGCAGCCAUUCCGGUGGCCAGUAUGGAGUUUGCAGCGAUCUGUCUGAGGAACGGCCUGGUCCUCCUCCCUGAUCACCAGCAGCAGGAGAACAAGGCAGAGAACGGCUCCAAGACAACCAGCCAGUCAGGCAGCACAGAGAGCGGCUCAGAGAACAGCGACGCCUGCAGUGGGAAAGGUCAAGAAGGAGACAAGUUCCUUUCUGCAGCACCGUCUUCACCUCUGAGGAAACAGGAGGUUGAAAACCUCAGGUGUUCCCUCCUGGCCUGCAGUGCCUACGUGGCCCUGGUGUUAGGAGACAACCUGAUGGCCCUGAACCAUGCAGAGAAGCUCCUUCACCAGACCAAGCUGUCUGGAUCACUCAAGUUCCUGGGACACCUGUAUGCUGCAGAGGCCCUCAUAUCCCUGGACCGGAUCUCAGAGGCCAUCGGUCACCUCAACCCAGAGAACGUCACUGAUGUCUCCAUGGGGGUGUUGUCUAGCGAGCAGGACCAAGUGUUUGUGUUCACAGGGCCAGAUAAAGGGGAUCUGGAGCCUGUCGAGUCAUGGUGUGUUGUGUGUUGGUACAGCAGGGAAGCAGACUCCUCUGUGUUACCCCAGCACAGUGAGCUCAGCCCGGGCCAUAAUGCUGUUCAACCUAGGCAGUGCCUAUUGUCUGAGGAGUGAGUACGAGAAGGCCCGCAAGUGCCUGCAUCAGGCCGCCUCCAUGGUGAACACCAAGGAGAUUCCUCCUGAAGCCAUCUUACUGGCUGUCUACCUGGAGCUGCAGAACGGGAACACACAGCUCGCCCUGCAGAUCAUCAAACGUAACCAGCUCCUCCCCUCAGUGCUCCAGGCGCCCUCUCCAGACACACGAAAGAAGCCUGUUCCCUCCUCCUUCCAGCCUGUCCAACCACCCAUCCAGAUGCCCUCACCCUUCACAACAGUCCAGCGCAAAUGAGCCCUCAACCCUUGUUCCCCUAACCCUCCUUGCCCCAUUGCACAGCAACACGCACCUGUCCACCUCUCAUCACUUCACCUCAGUGUAUUAUUUAUUUAAGGCAAGCUGACCCCAACUCAGUGCCGGUGUAGGGUGAAGUUGUCCCUAGAUGCUGAUCUUGACUCAGCUUUGUAUUUCCUCCCACUAAUGGUUAACAUUGGUGGAGAGGAAGCUGAUCCUAGAUCUGUACCUAGGGGAAAUUGAACUCCUCAGCACCCAGACGGAGCCCCUCCAGGUCAGGUCCUGGUAUGAAAUGCAGAGGUCUCCUGUCGGGUGGACGAAGGGUGCGUUCACGGCCCAAAUUACACCUUAUCCCCUAUGUAAGUGCACUCCUUUUGACCAGAGCCCUAUGGGGCCCUAAUAAAAGUAGUGCCCUAUAUAAGGAACUGGGUACCAUUUGGGAUGGAGCCUUUAUUCAGUGGCUAUCACCUGCAGUGUCUUUGGGGCAGAUCUGACAUGAUUUCUCUGUUCUCUGAGAGUUUUAACUUUCCAUUUGUGACAGCAACAUCCGUUAUGAUAUAUACUGACCGACUUUUGCUUGGGGCAAAUUAAAUACCUGUAUAAAAAAAUAAAUUUUAUUUACAGAAGUAA
Non-coding RNA from Oncorhynchus mykiss (rainbow trout), 3202 nucleotides. NCBI's taxonomy places the organism in Eukaryota, Metazoa, Chordata, Actinopteri, Salmoniformes, Salmonidae. The record is from RefSeq and is a predicted model, not a curated record.